AUGGGUAGUUCUAUUCUUCAUAGAACUAGUAGUCUUGCGGAUGCUAUCGCCAUGCUUGUAGUUGAACUUGAAAGGCAAUUUAUGCACAUGCAUCCUUGCAUACAAAGGAUAUUCCUAGAAUUUUCUAAUAUUGAGAAUUCUUCUGUUAAGCGUGCCGCGACUAUCUUUUUGGCUCAUGAGUUCAGAUUUAUAAUAAAAGAGGCCAAAGAAAUCUUUGCGCACUAUAGGGUGGACGCUGGCCGUCCUCCCAUAGAGGCUAUCCUCUUUGAUCAAGAGGAAAUAAUGUGUUUUCAAUCACUAGACUAUGUUGCUUUUAAUGAAAACCUUAGAAAAAGAGUUCCUACCAAUGUUCUAGUUGAUAGAAUUUCUGAACAUAAUAAUGAUUUUGUUAUUCGUAAUAAUGAGCUAGGAUAUUCUCUCGAGUUUAGGCUCACGAAGUUCUGUCAGAAAAAUGCUUAUAAUGAUGAAUUGGUUGUGCAAUACGAAGGGACGAAGGAGGAACCUAUACCUCCCGAAGUUGAUCUUGGGGACUUCUGUCCCAUUAAAUUUAGCCCUUUUGAUUACUUUUGCUUGCCUCAAAGAAAACUUGCUGCUGAACGUAGAGAAUAUGAAAUGUGUUUUCGUGAGCUAUCAUAUUAUUAUGGCAAUACCUAG
Molecule: ribosomal RNA, 654 nt
Filed under: Triticum aestivum (bread wheat)
Lineage: Eukaryota; Viridiplantae; Streptophyta; Magnoliopsida; Poales; Poaceae
Description: partial small subunit ribosomal RNA
Source: RNAcentral